RNAcentral lists this ribosomal RNA (156 nucleotides) under Penicillium chrysogenum. Its description in RNAcentral is "5.8S ribosomal RNA". It matches the Rfam family "5.8S ribosomal RNA". Rfam says of the family: 5.8S ribosomal RNA (5.8S rRNA) is a component of the large subunit of the eukaryotic ribosome. It is transcribed by RNA polymerase I as part of the 45S precursor that also contains 18S and 28S rRNA. Lineage: Eukaryota; Fungi; Ascomycota; Eurotiomycetes; Eurotiales; Aspergillaceae. The record is from RNAcentral.
CUUUCUUCAACGGAUCUCUUGUUUCCUGCAUCGAUGAAGAACACAGCAAAGUGCUAUACUUAGUGUGGAUUGCAAAUUCAGUGAAUCAUCGAGUCUUUGAACGCACAUUGCGCCCCCUGGUAUUCCGGGGGGCGUGCCUGUCCGAGCGACAUUGCU